RNAcentral lists this ribosomal RNA (406 nucleotides) under uncultured bacterium. RNAcentral describes it as "partial 16S ribosomal RNA". It matches the Rfam family "Bacterial small subunit ribosomal RNA", at positions 30 to 526 of the family's 1533-position model. The record is from RNAcentral.
AUUGAACGCUGGCGGCAGGCCUAACACAUGCAAGUCGAGCGAGCGGCGGACGGGUGAAUAAUGUAUGGGUAUCUGCCCUAUAGAGGGGGAUAAAUACUGGACACUGUGGCUAAUACCGCAUACUAUCGGAUGACCCCAUAUGGUAAUAGCUAGUAGGUGGGGUAAAGGCUCACCUAGGCGACGAUCUCUCGCUGGUCUGAGAGGAUGAUCAGCCACACUGGGACUGAGACACGGCCCAGACUCCUACGGGAGGCAGCAGUGGGGAAUAUUGCACAAUGGGCGCAAGCCUGAUGCAGCCAUGCCGCGUGUAUGAAGAAGGCCUUAGGGUUGUAAAGUACUUUCAGCGGGGAGGCGUUACCCGCAGAAGAAGCACCGGCUAACUCCGUGCCAGCAGCCGCGGUAAUUC